This 716-nucleotide ribosomal RNA is filed under the name uncultured archaeon. RNAcentral's name for it is "bacterial SSU rRNA". It matches the Rfam family "Archaeal small subunit ribosomal RNA", at positions 52 to 769 of the family's 1478-position model. The record is from RNAcentral.
UGCUAGUCGCACGAGUUCAGACUCGUGGCGGAAAGCUCAGUAACACGUGGCCAAACUACCCUACGGAUCGGGAUAACCUCGGGAAACUGAGGCUAAUACCGAAUACGGCUCUCAGCCUGGAGUGGCGAGAGCCGGAAACGCUCCGGCGCCGUAGGAUGUGGCUGCGGCCGAUUAGGUAGACGGUGGGGUAACGGCCCACCGUGCCCAUAAUCGGUACGGGUCAUGAGAGUGAGAGCCCGGAGACGGUAUCUGAGACAAGAUACCGGGCCCUACGGGGCGCAGCAGGCGCGAAACCUUUACACUGCACGUCAGUGCGAUAGGGGGACUCCGAGUGCGAGGGCAUACAGUCCUCGCUUUUCUGUACCGUAAGGUGGUACAGGAACAAGUGCUGGGCAAGACCGGUGCCAGCCGCCGCGGUAAUACCGGCAGCACGAGUGAUGGCCGAUAUUAUUGGGCCUAAAGCGUCCGUAGCUGGCCGAACAAGUCCGUUGGGAAAUCGACGCGCCCAACGCGUCGGCGUCCAGCGGAAACUGUUCGGCUUGGGGCCGGAGGACUCGAGGGGUACGUCCGGGGUAGGAGUGAAAUCCCGUAAUCCUGGACGGACCACCGGUGGCGAAAGCGCCUCGAGAGGACGGACCCGACAGUGAGGGACGAAAGCCAGGGUCUCGAACCGGAUUAGAUACCCGGGUAGUCCUGGCCGUAAACGAUGUCCGCUA